GGGAGACAGACAUCGGGUGCUAACGUCCGGUGUCAAGAGGGAAACAACCCAGACCGCCAGCUAAGGUCCCCAAAUAUGGCUAAGUGGGAAACGAAGUGGGAAGGCUAAAACAGUCAGGAGGUUGGCUUAGAAGCAGCCAUCCUUUAAAGAAAGCGUAAUAGCUCACUGAUCGAGUCGUCCUGCGCGGAAGAUGUAACGGGGCUAAGCCAUAUACCGAAGCUGCGGAUGCACAUUAAUGUGCAUGGUAGGAGAGCGUUCCGUAAGCCUGCGAAGGUGCACUGGAAAGUGUGCUGGAGGUAUCGGAAGUGCGAAUGCUGACAUGAGUAGCGAUAAAGGGGGUGAAAGGCCCCCUCGCCGUAAGCCC
This 364-nucleotide ribosomal RNA is filed under the name Mesorhizobium sp. RNAcentral describes it as "partial 23S ribosomal RNA". It matches the Rfam family "Bacterial large subunit ribosomal RNA", at positions 979 to 1346 of the family's 2925-position model. The record is from RNAcentral. Lineage: Bacteria; Pseudomonadati; Pseudomonadota; Alphaproteobacteria; Hyphomicrobiales; Phyllobacteriaceae.